Molecule: ribosomal RNA, 120 nt
Filed under: Bison bison bison
Lineage: Eukaryota; Metazoa; Chordata; Mammalia; Artiodactyla; Bovidae
Source: RNAcentral
GGCUCCGGCCCUAUCAGCCUGAAGGCGCCCGAUCUCGUCUAAUCUCGGAAGUUAAGCAGGGUCGGGCCUGGUUAGUAUCUUGGAUGGGAGACCACCUGGGAAUCCCGGGUGCUCGAGGCU